This 3820-nucleotide long non-coding RNA is filed under the name Pongo abelii (Sumatran orangutan). Its description in RNAcentral is "lncRNA (ENSPPYG00000038666.1)". The record is from RNAcentral. Lineage: Eukaryota; Metazoa; Chordata; Mammalia; Primates; Hominidae.
AGCCUUGCCCGUUGCGCAGUAUAUACUGAUCCAGAUGAUAAACCAGUGAACUAUGUCAAAAGCACUCUCAAUAUUACAUUUGACAAAAAGUUUUGUACUUUUCACAUAGCUUGUUGCCCCGUAAAAGGGUUAACAGCACAAUUUUUUAAAAAUAAAUUAAGAAGUAUUUAUAGGAUUAAAGUGACUUCAUUUGUAUACAUUUGGAAUCUAAACCAGCUUAAAAACAGUUUCCUCAAUGACUUAGAUACACAGUAUAACUGAUGCUCUUCUGGAAUACCACAUGAGACAUGGUCAGAGACAGCGCUUGGAAGGACAUUACACAGGAAAUUCAGAGUAAUGCUUUGAAGAUUUCCCCCUUUUGUUUUAUUCCUGAAGGAACAUCAGUACCCGAUCUUGAAGAAAUUCAAGAUUCAAAAAGAAUUUUAAAUACACCAACAUGAGAGAUCAGUAGUCAGUUGGUUUUCAGUAAAGCUUUUUCCAAGUUGUUCUCAACUUAGGAAGUAAUUUUGGUGUGAUCUAGCAAAAGAGUAGAAAUCAGCAGAUACAACCACUUUGGAAGUUUAUAGUAUAAUUGAAAUUAUUAGAAGAAUUCAGCAGGUUACAGACAUACUUAAACUGGGAUUAAAACCUCAUAGUCAUUUCUCUUAAUUGCCCUUAAUAUUUUGACAUAUAGGGAUACUUAAAUUUAAAGAAUAUUUCUUCUCAGUUUUUUCACAUAUUGCCAUACUGAACCUCAUUCUAAACUGGUGCUGUGGAUAGUCUUUCCCUCUCCCCUCCUGUUUUAGUUUAAGGAAAGGUUUCCUUCAUGGAAAAGCACUUUUAAUUUUGAGAAUUUCACAUUUAAAAUAAGCCAGAAGCCUGAUGUUCACAUUGUGCUUUUAAACUCCGUAACAGCUGAAUACAACAUAACAUAGUCUCCCUUGAAAUUCCCUCCCUUUUUCAGUAGAGGAUAAAUAGGGUGACUCCAGCUGUUGGAAUGAGAAUGGGGAUACCCCCAAAAUAAGAUUCUGGUGAAGAUAAAGUCGUGUACUAAGUUCCCCUUUAGGCGUACUCAAGUCUAUAAUAUAAUUAUGAUCAUGAAUAGACUCCUCCAGAAUCCACAAAGAGAACAGGGCUUGGAUGUCAAAAAUUCUUCCAUUGUGGGGUAGGUGGUUGGGGAUGGGAGAAAGGGAAAAGUCAGGGAAGGGGAGAAGAAAGAAAAACACAUUUGGCCUUAAAAUAGCUUGCAUUCUCCCAGAAGCCCAUAGUAAAGAAAAUGACAGAUCGUGGUCAGCAGACUCUUAUCAAAUUGGUGUGUAAAAGAUUUCUUCAAGCUCCGUUUUGCAGAGACCACCACUUAGAGAAUCAAAAAAUUCCUGUUUUGAUACUUAUAAGUUAAAAUAUAUGUUACAGUUUAUCUGGUACUUCAUUUUUCUUAACUAAAACUACUUUUUACUUUAAGCUUGAAUAAAAAUCAUCAUUGGUAACUGUAUGUAAUUAAGUGGCAACUUCUCUUUACCUCAGUAUAGUUAAAAACCAUUCAUAUUUUAAGUGAUUCAUGUAUACCCUGAAGCCGUUAAUACACCCCAGUCUCUACGGUAACAUCACUAAAUGUGGGCAUAGAAACUCCACGGCUGUUUACAAAUUUGGUUACAGUGUGCUAUGGUGCAUUUGUAACACUCAGAUUUGUGCCCAUUCAGGGGCAAUUUGGCACUCAGAUUCUACUCUACUUCACCUAACCACCCCUAGAUCUGAGUUUUCAGAGUGCUUCUGAAGUACAGUUAAAAAACACUUUUUAAAAAGUGGAGUAAAAGUGAGGCACAUUUUACAAGAACAUAACUCCUAUUAAAACGGAGUAACAACUAUGCAAAGGUUUCUAUAGCAGCUAGGUGAGUUUGUUUUCCGGGUCUGUCUUAACUGGCAGCUUCCUGUAUAUACUGGUACUUUGCUGUGCCAAUUUGCUGUAAACGUCUGUUUCAUACAUUUGCCAUGCAGUGACUGUGCUAGAAAGGUGAAAUAAAUGGUAAAGAAGCCUAGGAUUUUAUGGUGUAAGAAACUGAUCGAAGGAUUUUCUGAUCCAUAGCUAUUAAUUGAAAACUUCUGAUAGUGCUAUAGGCUCUAUAGUAGGCUUAAGAGUGAGUCUUACACUACGAAGCCAGCCACAAGAUACUAACAAAUGUAUAAAUUGAAAAGUACCAAUACUUUUUGCACAUAGAUCAAAAUAGAGUGGAGAAUUUGGGCUCCAAAAAUCAGGUUAGUAGGCUCAUUUCCAUGUGCUUAAAAAUGUUUUUGUUGUUAUGCAUUGAUUAAGGGCUAGAGCAAAUAUAAAAUUAAAUGUCUUUUUCCUCCAAAUAAUUGGUUAUUAAUGGUAAAAUGUUGGACUUGGGGAUUACUGAGAUUAGUAUGUGGGUAGUAAAGAAUUGGAGUGGGAGUUAGUGGGGAGGGAUGACAAAGCUUCAGCUUUGGUUUUUGUAUUUUAUUAGUCUUCAUAACAGCUACAUUUCUGUUGCUCUUAUUGGCCAGAUAAAUGUGUUAUAUUAAACCAGGUAAGUAUUUUAAACAGAACAUUUUAUUUGCAUAUAUCCCUAUAAAUUGGCCCAUUUUAUUGGGUGGGGGGAUAAAAAAGGGAUUCCCUAACUUUAUAUAAUCAGAAUAUCCUGCAAUUGAAAGGAGAAAAAAAUCCAAUUUUGUCAGUAUUUUCUUAGUAUGAAAAAAAACAGAAGUAGUAAUAUGGUGAAUUUUAUUAUUAGGAGUGUUCUGCCUCUAGAGUGGCAUUCCAUGACAUUAAUAGAAAAUCCUUCUUUCCCACCCUUCCCCAUCUUGAAAUUUUCUUUUUUAGGAUGUUGGUUCCUGCAAACAAGAACUGACCCUAUCACCUCUGCCUCACAGUGGGUAAAUAUAUCGUACAUCUCUUGAAAGGGAAAAUAUCCAUGUCAGUUUCUUUCACAGUAGAAGAAUGGCUGCUUUUGAAUGGGGAGGAAAGAAGACAUUUUUCUUAAUAUCCUUUUUGUCCCAUCUCUAAAAUGUAUAAAUAUUUUGAUUUGGUUUUACUUUCUCAUUCAUAAUUUAGCAACUCUCCUUUUGGGUUGCCCUCCAACACAUUACUUCCAUUUCAGAAACCAUAUCUGAUUUAAUAUAAACUGCUAACUUAAGAAGAGGUGAAUUUGCAUUUACACUUAGACACUUUCUAAAAACAGGGUGAACUUAAUUGAAAUUUUUCAGUGUUGUUAAGCUAUUGUUAUAGUAGCUGCCCUAUAGUUACAAAAAUAAAAACUAUAAAAACCCAUCCCCUAUCUACUUAAUCCAGAUAGCCUGGAUUUAACAAAACUAAUAGUAUAAAAAUGUGUGUGUGUGUGUUCUGUGUGUGUGUGAGAGAGAGAGUACGUGAUUCAUUAAAAAGUCCUGGAAACAGCUGUUCUAGGAUCUUGUCAUUUUUACUAAAAGUCUCGUGCACAUGUGAAGUGCCCUCUGAGUUUAAGGUUUGGUUAAUACUGGUAUAUUUUUAUAAGAUUGAAAUUGUGUCCCCAUCUUUAACUUAAACAUUUUCGUUAUCAGGGUCAAUGUGCUAGAACUGAAUUGUAACAUUUUUAGGCACAGAUGGAAAAAAAUGUUAUUGGCUCCUUGAAAAUGUGUGUGUGUGGCGAGGGGAAUAGAUCCACAAAAGCAUGUAUGUACUUACAAACCAAGCUGUAGAGAUCAAGAAAAGAACUUAAAUGUUGAUCUCAAGAUUUCUAAAUUGUCAAGAUUUACAUGGCAUUGUGGUGGAACUAGUUAACACUUAGAGCUUUUGGUAUGUAAUAACUAUUUGCUAUGGACUGAUUAAAUGUUUCAAAAGAUUGUG